CCUACGGGAGGCAGCAGUGGGGAAUAUUGCACAAUGGAGGGAACUCUGAUGCAGCGACGCCGCGUGAGUGAAGAAGUAAUUCGUUAUGUAAAGCUCUAUCAGCAGGGAAGAAAGUGACGGUACCUGAAAAAGAAGCUCCGGCUAAAUACGUGCCAGCAGCCGCGGUAAUACGUAUGGAGCAAGCGUUAUCCGGAUUUACUGGGUGUAAAGGGAGAGUAGGUGGCAGAGCAAGUCCGAAGUGAAAACCCAAAGCUCAACUAUGGGACUGCUUUUGAAACUGCCGGGCUGGAGUGCAGGAGAGGUAAGCGGAAUUCCUAGUGUAGCGGUGAAAUGCGUAGAUAUUAGGAGGAACACCAGUGGCGAAGGCGGCUUACUGGACUGUAACUGACGUUGAGGCUCGAAAGCGUGGGGAGCAAACAGGAUUAGAUACCCGGGUAGUC
This 440-nucleotide ribosomal RNA is filed under the name uncultured bacterium. RNAcentral's name for it is "partial 16S ribosomal RNA". It matches the Rfam family "Bacterial small subunit ribosomal RNA", at positions 338 to 795 of the family's 1533-position model. The record is from RNAcentral.